Molecule: long non-coding RNA, 2983 nt
Organism: Odontomachus brunneus
Lineage: Eukaryota; Metazoa; Arthropoda; Insecta; Hymenoptera; Formicidae
Exons: 2
Source: RefSeq, a predicted model, not a curated record
UCUCUCUCUCUCUCUCUCUCUCUCUCUCUCUCUCUCUCUCUCUCUCUCUCUCUCUCUCUUUCACUCUUUCUUUCUCUCUUUCUCUCCAGCUGGAAUGAUUCAUUCUCGAUUACCUCUCUCUACCCUUUCUUUCCUCAUUUCUUUUUUAUGUAGAGAUACGUCGUAUGUGUAUGGACUAAUGUAUACGUGAUAAUUGUGUUCCCCCCGCUCAUGUGUCGACCGUUCCGUGUCUUUUAGCCCCCGUUCGACGAGUUCUCGUCCUUGUUAUCUAUUUUUAACAUUUAGCGUUAAUAAUGUUUUUUCUCGGACAUUGAGAGUGUUGUUCUCGAUGCGAGGUCUUCGUAAUGAGCGUACUUUGUAGUCAAAGCUGUAUCUAUAUAAAUUAUCGAGAUAGUGCGUUAAUCGCACGUGUAUCCACUCUGCCGUCGCGCUUAAUUCGCGAUCAACCGGAUAGCCUGUUCGAGUGUGUCAGAUUUUCGACAUAAUGCGUCAAAAGAGAAGCAAUGUGUAUAUUUCUUCCCGGUGUCCGUGGAUUAAUCGCGGCUGCACCGUAACAUUGUACAGACAUAAUUUAAAUGUCCUCUCAGUCUCUCCCUCGAUUGAUUCAAUAUCUUUAAGGCAUCCGGCUACUCGUCGCGUUCAUAUUGGAUUGUAACGUUAAAAGUGAAAAAUGACAUGCUAAAAAUUCUUGUACGCCAUCUCCAAAUAAAAAAAUGUUUGUAUGAAAAAGCACUUCAGAUUGCUUGAGCAUACUUGUAAGAUGUUCCAAAAACUAUCCUUUUUCCUUGAUGGUCAAAGAAUAGCGAUAAAAUGAACGUGGCAGAAUCAGGGCAGGAGAAAGGAUAGGUUAAAGAGGAAGGUUGAAAGUCACGUUAAUUUUGCGGCUAUUUAGUAACUGUCAAGAAAAAAGGAUUUUACAGAUAUGAGCGAUCAGAAGUGUUCUUUCAUACAAAGUGUUCUCUAUUUGGAAAUGACACGACAGAAUUUUAGAUUUUGAAAAAGCGUUUUUUCGCUUCUGACGUUAUUGAAUCAUCGUUCCGCAACGAAUAUCCAGUCUCAACUCCUUUUUCAUUAUUGCGUUAUUACCACUGAUAUCUUGGUGGGACUCGAGAUUCAACUCGCGGUCAUGCUCAUCGAGAACCCUCUGCUUUAGGUACAAUUCGAUAGUCAGAUUCUCCCUCGAAAUCGUAAUUGAUUGCAUUCCGAUAGAGACGCAUGUCUCAUGCAGAGUAUCAGAGGUUUUCUGCUCGUUUUGAUAUUGACCGAGUGUCUGUGUCGGAAAUUGCUAAUGUGACUCAAACUUGAGUUCUACUUAUCGUAUCGUGUGUAUUAUCGACGUAGGUAUUCACACAACACACGUACACCCGACGCAGUUGUAAUACGCAAAUUAACGAUUUUGUUUUGCAUAUUAACACAACAACUAUUGUAAUGUAUAAAACGUGUUUAUUCUAGAUUUUUCUCCGGGUAAUUAUCAUGUACGAAUAAUUUUCUUCCCCUCCUCCCCCCCCCCUCAGUCGGAGCUUCUCCGACUUUUUCUUUAUGAAUGUUAACGUUACGUAGAUCCCACUAGAUAUUCUCUUUACUUAAAAAACCAAAGGAUAAGUAUUAAGUUAAAAUUAAUUUUUUAUUGCGGUUUAUACUGACAUUGUACUCUUCCUUGCUUUUUUCUCGUUUCCAACGUAAAAAAGAAAUACAUGUACACACACAUACACACAUUGCGCGUGUAAUAACAUGUGCGAGAUCGUCCACGACUUGUUGUGUUCUUACAUUUCUCCGACAAAUAUAUACAUAAAUAUAUAUAUAUAUAUAUAUAUAUAUAUAUAUAUAUAUAUAUAUAUAUAUAUAUAUAUAUAUAUAUCUAUAUAUCUCCCUGUUUAAAAAAUACAGCGAAGCAUUACGAAAUGUGUAUGAUUUUUCCAGUCGGACACAUUCCGUGAGGAUUUUGCGCGAUUACGAUCGGGCAUUACAUUUGGAAUAUAUAUCUAUAUAGGCAUAUAUAAAUAAAUACAUAGAAGUGUAGAACGUGUAUAUAUAUACGUCUAUAUGAAGUUACAGUUCCAGGAGUAACUUGACUGACGACGCUACGAAUUUUGAUUGUGCCAGAAAAUAUAUAUUGUUGGUAGUCGCAGGCGAGAUUUAUAUUAGAUCUCCGGUAAGCGUUGUAGGAUGUAUAUUCAGACUUCCGCUCGCCUGUUAAAUAAAAUGAUCGUAGAUCAUGUUACCUUUCAUUUCUUGUAAGCGAUGUAGCAGAGAGUUUCUUGUUUUUGUACUAUAUUCGCACUUGGAUUGCGCUUGAAUGUAAAUUGUUCCGGUCGACUGUUGAAGAUCUUAACGCCACUUUUAAGGAAACCAAUGAUCUGUGGAGAUAUGUGAAUGCGAAGAAACAUUAUCUGUAGGAUGAUUCUUUUUCAUAGAUUUUCGGUCUGAUUCGAUAUAUGUAGUACAUAGUACGCAAUUCUAACAGGAAAGUAGAUUCUUCGAGAUGUACAUUAUGCUUCCUACAGUUAAGACUGAAACUAAUAUUGCGUAUAAGGCGUAUAUAUAUCAAAUCUAGAACAAUCUCUUUCUCACACAUACACAGACGUAUACUGAGUCUGUACGUGCGACUAUGUGUCUUAAAUAUUUUUUUUCUGUAAGAAUACUUGCGCGAAAGAAAAAUAAAGUGUGCCAACGCAAUUUUAAGGUAAACGCGGUCGUUUUUAUGAUCGUCCAACACGACAGUUUCUUUUAUAAUUUUAAAUGUACGGAACACUGUGUGUGUGAUUGGAGGGGGAAAUCUAGAGAUUUAUUUAUAUUAUUUAUAUAUACGCUACGAGAAUAAGAAAGAAUUGUAAAGUAAUAUUUAUUAUUUGUUGCACAUGUGUUGUAAAUUUAAGUUUCCAUUGUGAAAAAAAUAUCGUUACAUAUUUUCCAAUGCACACACAAUCGUUUUUUAGAAAGAGAAAGUGUUUUGUAGAAAGAAAAAUAAAUUACUUCCAAAUAA